Molecule: ribosomal RNA, 262 nt
Filed under: uncultured Lactobacillus sp.
Lineage: Bacteria; Bacillati; Bacillota; Bacilli; Lactobacillales; Lactobacillaceae
Description: partial 16S ribosomal RNA
Rfam family: Bacterial small subunit ribosomal RNA
Source: RNAcentral
CGGAUGAUGCAUAGCCGAGUUGAGAGACUGAUCGGCCACAUUGGGACUGAGACACGGCCCAAACUCCUACGGGAGGGCAGCAGUAGGGAAUCUUCCACAAUGGACGCAAGUCUGAUGGAGCAACGCCGCGUGAGUGAAGAAGGGUUUCGGCUCGUAGAGCUCUGUUGUUGGUGAAGAAGGACAGGGGUAGUAACUGACCUUUGUUUGACGGUAAUCAAUUAGAAAGUCACGGGCUAACUACGUGCCAGCAGCCGCGGUAAAU